UGUGAGAAGGUCCGGUGGGCAACUGGAAAUCCCCAUAUGCCGAACAUCAGAAUAUUCUUUUGGCAUGUGAGGCGAGCAUGAAGUCAUAUUUCCAUCGGAGUGGAGCAGUGCAGACUCCAGCCAGGUAGACUUCCCGAGCAGGCACACGGGGAUACCCUGCAUGGAAACUUUCAACAUUCCACACCGUUUCUUCAGGCAGAACCAACAAUUUCAAAAUGAACAGUGACAGAUCAAUUUUUAAUGUAACGAAAGGUCCUGUGGAUGGAAAACCCUCUGAAUUCGUUGUGGGGAUGAACGCAUGUUCCCCAAGAUGAUCUGACACCAUUUCUGAAGCCAAAUCCCAGGAUCCAUCAUUGACGGGCAGCAGCCUCUGGUGGUGGUAGCUCCCGCCAGGCCUGGACGGAAGAGAUCAGGCCAGCGUGCUGCCACCUUCCAGGCCUGAACCCUGAGGCUGCUGUGCUUCUUCCCUUCCUCAGAGGUCAGGCUGCCAGGUUCUGCUCUUUCCCCAGCGCUCUUCACACAUCCUGUCCCUGGAGACAUGUGAGAGGCCGUCUGGAAAAACAUCAAUGCUACGUAUACGGAGCCUGCUUACACAAGAUGCCAACAGAUGGCAACAUUUUAUCAUUAUUGCACCAUCCGGGGACCCUUCAUCUGUGGCCUCGGGGAGCAGCAGGCGUCGGCUCUCUGGUGUGACACAUGUCACCGCAGCUUCACCCCCCAUUAACCAUGCUGUUGUUUGUGAUUGUUAAGCUGCGUGUCUCGCCGUGUGUCACAUUCUUGACUUGUACAAGGGUCCAUUAGCAAGUAGCAUCUGAGGACCGUGAGUCAUAGGAGGCCCCAUGCUUGGAAAAAUAAACACUGCACAUUCGGCCGAGAUUAGAGCCACUGGC
Eptesicus fuscus (big brown bat) is the source of this 890-nucleotide long non-coding RNA. RefSeq lists it as uncharacterized. The record is from RefSeq and is a predicted model, not a curated record. The transcript has 3 exons. Lineage: Eukaryota; Metazoa; Chordata; Mammalia; Chiroptera; Vespertilionidae.